AUAUAUUAGAAGUUCGUGUGUAUAUCAGUGUCGACGCCAUCUAAUUAACUAUCGAGAUGACAUCCGUACUCUGCCGAUGGUCACUUAACCUGAUAUAAACAUAAACAUAAAUAGAUCGUCAACCUCGUGCAAUUAGAUUUUUUCUAUGUCUGUUUGAUUUCAUGUUAUCAGAGUUCAUUACUAGUAAUGGACUUGUGAUGUUAUAGGUUAAAAACAAAAGAUAAUUAUCGUUUUUAUCUGUAAAGGCCUGGAAUGUUUUGUUUUUUUUUUUGGAUCGAGUCAGUUAUUGAAAUGGUUCACCUUUGUUUCACUUUAAAUGUUGUUAUUAUUUUC
RNAcentral lists this long non-coding RNA (333 nucleotides) under Mytilus galloprovincialis (Mediterranean mussel). The record is from RNAcentral. Lineage: Eukaryota; Metazoa; Mollusca; Bivalvia; Mytilida; Mytilidae.